This 497-nucleotide ribosomal RNA is filed under the name uncultured bacterium. RNAcentral's name for it is "partial 16S ribosomal RNA". It matches the Rfam family "Bacterial small subunit ribosomal RNA", at positions 28 to 507 of the family's 1533-position model. The record is from RNAcentral.
GAUGAACGCUGGCGGCGUGCCUAAUACAUGCAAGUCGAGCGAACAGACGAGGAGCUUGCUCCUCUGACGUUAGCGGCGGACGUGUGAGUAACACGUGGAUAACCUACCUAUAAUACUGGUAUAACUUCGGGAAACCGGAGCUAAUACCGGAUAAUAUAUUGAACCGCAUUGUUCAUUAGUGAAAUACGGUUUUUCUGUCUCUUAUAGAUGGAUCCGCGCCGCAUUAGCUAGUUGGUAAGGUAACGGCUUACCAAGGCAACGAUGCGUAUCCGACCUGAGAGGGUGAUCGGCCACACUGGAACUGAGACACGGACCAGACGCCUACGGGAGGAAGCAGUAGGGAAUCUUACGCAAUGGGCGAAAGCUUGACGGAGCAACGCCGAGUGAGAGAUGAAGGUCUUCGGAUCGUAAAACUCUGUUAUUAGGGAAGAACAAAUGUGUAAGUAACUAUGCACGGAUUGACGGUAACUAAUCAGAAAGCAACGGCUAACUACGUG